Maniola jurtina (meadow brown) is the source of this 641-nucleotide long non-coding RNA. RefSeq lists it as uncharacterized. The record is from RefSeq and is a predicted model, not a curated record. NCBI's taxonomy places the organism in Eukaryota, Metazoa, Arthropoda, Insecta, Lepidoptera, Nymphalidae. The transcript has 2 exons.
AUUAGUUCAAUGCCACGAAAGCAGCAGACAGACAGACACGCUUACGAAUUCAUAAAUUAUGAAUAUGGAUUUAGUUCCAAACCUGUAUUGAAUUUGCAAGUGCCUAAAUUUGUAUGCGCAACACGCGUAAAAUAAAUCAACUGAAACCGUCGCUUUGCUUUGUGUAAGACUAAAGGCAGUAGGGUUUUUUGGAGCAGAAACGUAUCUAAGUAUUUAACUCAUGUACUUUCCUUAUGUCGGAAUGUGUGAGGGGUUUACAAGACGACGUAGGUAUUUUUCCUCGGUCCUUAUUGUAUAAAAGACUCAUCAAGUCUACAAAGGAUUUAAUUUCCACUAACACUUGUAAGAAGCGAGUGCUGCAUGAUGAAGGUUUUAUUUAUUUUCGUUUUCAUUACGCUAUGCAUUCAAAUUGUGUUCAGCAGUACUAUUCCCGUGUCAGGGACUACGACUACGCCAAAACCUUGGACUCAAAAAGUUAAAGACGGUCUGGGUAAAUUCUUUCAUGGUGCAGCAAUAAUAAGUAGCGUACAACAAGCCUUACACAAUCGUAAUGGCCCGCAUGGCGGCCACCACAAGACAUUACCAACAACAAAACCUAAACUUUAAUUUAGUUAGGAAAUUAAUAAAGAAUUAAUUUAGUC